GUCCUCUUGAUAAUAAUUUGAGGUUUAACCUGCCCACUGAUUUUUUAACGGCCGCAGUAAUUUGACUGUGCAAAGGUAGCAUAAUCAUUAGUUUUUUAAUUAAAAGCUUGUAUGAAUGGUUGGACGAGGUAAAAUCUGUCUCUAUUUAAUUUAAAAUAAAAUUUAAUUUUUAAGUUAAAAAGCUUAAAUAUAAAUAAAAGACGAGAAGACCCUAUAGAUCUUUAUAUUAUUUAUAAUAAUUUUAAUUAAGAAUUGUUUAUAAAUUAUUUUAAUUAGUAUUCUAUUGGGGUAAUAAAAAGAUUAAAAAAAUUCUUUUUUAAGUUUUACAUAGAUUAAUGAAUAUUUGAUCCAAUUAUUUUGAUUAAAAGAUUAAGUUACCUUAGGGAUAACAGCGUAAUUUUUUUAGAGAGUUCUUAUCGAUAAAAAAGUUUGCGA
This 435-nucleotide ribosomal RNA is filed under the name Thermonectus alfredi. RNAcentral's name for it is "partial 16S ribosomal RNA". The record is from RNAcentral. Lineage: Eukaryota; Metazoa; Arthropoda; Insecta; Coleoptera; Dytiscidae.